This is a non-coding RNA of Salvelinus sp. IW2-2015, 273 nucleotides long. NCBI's taxonomy places the organism in Eukaryota, Metazoa, Chordata, Actinopteri, Salmoniformes, Salmonidae. The record is from RefSeq and is a predicted model, not a curated record.
GAGGACCCAGCGAGGGUGGAGCACAGUCUGAGAGCUGUUGAGUGAGAACACUUCUACAGCCAGAGAGUCAAGAAAUGGAACAGCAAGGCCACAGAACAUCACACACGCAGAGCUGUGGGAGACCACCUGAAGCAUUCCCCUGGUAGAGCCAGGGGAUGUGUUAACCACACCACCACCAAACGCCUUUAACAGGCUUGAAAAGUGGGUUUGAUCUGUUUGAUCCAUUUUAUUUGUUUCAGUUUUCAUUAGUUGAAUCCUUCGACUUACUGUUGA